Non-coding RNA from Pelodiscus sinensis (Chinese soft-shelled turtle), 803 nucleotides. The record is from RefSeq and is a predicted model, not a curated record. NCBI's taxonomy places the organism in Eukaryota, Metazoa, Chordata, Testudines, Trionychidae.
GGAAAAGGGGAGUGAGAAAUGGCCCCUGGUGGCUGGAGGGGGUUUGGGGAGACAGAAAGCCCCUGGUGGCUGGAGGGGUGCUUUGGAGGGGACAGAAGGCCCCUGGCAUCUGGGAAGCGAAGAGAAAACCCUGCUAGAUGGGACCUCCCACCCUGAACCCCUCCUCAACUCCAAACCUCACCCUCCUGCUCUGCCACCCCCACAUCCUCAAGGCCCUGGCCCCACUCCUGAACCCCUCUCCCCCACUGCCAGCCCCAUGCCCUGAAAGACCUGGGUAAUGCCAGGGAAAUCUUCUAAUCAACAGUAAUUCCCUUCUCUUUAUCUGCAGUAAAGGCUUCAGACCAUAUUCUAGCCAAACUGAUGGCUCAGAACAGCUUUUGUUUAUGCUGUGCCUCUUUUCAAGUUUGUGACGGAGAAUUAGAAUCCCACAACAAGCAAGCCAGCAACCCAAUUUUAUCUUCAUCUUUAAUCUAAACUCAUAGGUGAUUUUCUUAUGAAAAUUAGAAUCUAAUGACGCUGAUCCAAGCCUCCUCCCCAAUCCCAGCAACUCUGUCAAUGGACCUCAAUCUAAGCCUACUGCCCUCUCUUGCUAUUCUAGGACCUGGAUUUACGCUGCUCCACCAAUGUAUUUCAGUGCUGAUUUGCAGCACUACCUGCUCCUCUAGUCCUGAGAAGAAAGGUGAUAUAGAGUUCUAGAACUGGAAGGGACCUCACAGCAGGACCAAGCACUGUCUAGAUCAUCCUUGACAGGUAUUUGAAUAAGGUUACACAUUAUGGUCUUUGCUGCAGAGUACCCAUUUUUU